CAGCCGGCACCUGAGUAACCCGGAGCACGAGGAAUUCCGGGCGAAUUAGCGGGGACCAUCCCGUAAGGCUAAAUACUAACGAGAGACCGAUAGCGAACCAGUACCGUGAGGGAAAGGUGAAAAGAACCUCGAACAGAGGAGUGCAACAGACCCUGAAACCAUAUGCCUACAAGCGGUCGGAGCGGCUCAGUGCCGUGACGGCGUGCCUUUUGCAUAAUGAACCUACGAGUCACCGUCGUUGGCAAGGUUAAGGACAAUGAUGUCCGGAGCCGAAGCGAAAGCGAGUCCGAAGAGGGCGCCGGAGUCAGCGGAGGUGGACGCGAAACCAAGUGAUCUACCCUUGGGCAGGUUGAAGGACAGGUAAAACUGUCUGGAGGACCGAACCGGUAAGCGUUGAAAAGCUUUCGGAUGACCUGAGGGUAGGAGUGAAAGGCCAAUCAAACUUGGAGAUAGCUCGUACUCCCCGAAAUGUAUUUAGGUGCAGCCUCGGAGAGAAUCUGACGGAGGUAGAGCGACUGAUAGGAUGCGAGGGCUUCACCGCCUAUCAAGUCCUGACAAACUCCGAAUGCCGUCAGACAUAUCCGGGAGUAAGGGCGCGGGUGCUAAGGUCCGCGUCCGAGAGAGGAACAACUCAGACCAUCGGCUAAGGUCCCGAAAUCCGGGCUAAGUUGAAGACAAUAACGAGGUGGGAUUGCAUAGACAGCUAGGAUGUUGGCUUGGAAGCAGCCAUUCAUUUAAAGAGUGCGUAACAGCUCACUAGUCGAGUGAUCCCGCGUGGAUAAUAAUCGGGCAUAAGUCCGGUACCGAAGCCAUGGAAUCACGCUUAGGGCGUGAUUGGUAGGGGAGCAUUCCGUACAGCGGCGAAGGUCGGUGGCGAUGCCGGCUGGAGCGUACGGAAAAGCAAAUGUAGGUAUAAGUAACGAUAAUGGAGGCGAGAAACCUCCACGCCGAAAGACCAAGGUUUCCUGAUCAACGCUAAUCGGAUCAGGGUAAGUCGGGACCUAAGGGGCAGCCGCGAGGCGGACCCGAUGGAAGAAACGGUAAAGAUUCCGUUACUGUCGCCGGGAGUGAAGCGGGGACGGAGGAGUGACACCGCCGCGGACUGACGGAAUAGUCCGUUGAAGAGUGUAGGUAUUCGGAGGCCAGGCAAAUCCGGUCUCCGAGCUGAACUUGACAGUACUGCGAGCCUUCGGGCAAGCAGACAGCGCGGGUAAGCAGACUCCCAAGAAAAUCCGCUAAACAUAUGUCGGCGACACCCGUACCGAAACGGACACACGUGGUCGGGUAGAACAUACUAAGGCGCUCGAGAGAUUCACCGUUAAGGAACUAGGCAAAUUGACCUCGUAACUUCGGGAUAAGGGGUCCCACAGCGAUGUGGGCGCAGAGAAUAGGUCCAGGCAACUGUUUAACAAAAACACAGGGCUGUGCGAAAUUUAAAGAUGAAGUAUACAGCCUGACACCUGCCCGGUGCCGGAAGGUUAAGAGGAGAAGUCAUCGCAAGAGAAGCUUUGAAUUGAAGCCCCGGUAAACGGCGGCCGUAACUAUAACGGUCCUAAGGUAGCGAAAUUCCUUGUCGGGUAAGUUCCGACCUGCACGAAUGGUGUAAUGAUCUGGACACUGUCUCAACGGUGAGCUCGGUGAAAUUGUAGUAUCGGUGAAGAUGCCGAUUACCCGCAACGGGACGAAAAGACCCCGUGAACCUUUACUGCAGCUUAGCAUUGGGACCGGGUGCGUGAUGUGUAGGAUAGUCCGGAGACAGCGAUGCGGGGGCGCCAGCCCUCGCGGAGUCGACGUUGAAAUACGGACCUUUGCGCAUCUGGUCUCUAACUCGCGGGAAGCGAGGACACUGCUUGGUGGGUAGUUUGACUGGGGUGGUCGCCUCCAAAAGAGUAACGGAGGCUUCUAAAGGUGCCCUCAGACCGAUUGGUAACCGGUCGCAGAGUGUAAUGGCAUAAGGGCGCUUGACUGAGAGGACGACAAUCCGAACAGGUAGGAAACUAGAGCAUAGUGAUCCGGCGGUACCGCAUGGAAGGGCCGUCGCUCAAAGGAUAAAAGGUACUCCGGGGAUAACAGGCUGAUCCCUCCCAAGAGCUCAUAUCGACGGAGUGGUUUGGCACCUCGAUGUCGGCUCGUCACAUCCUGGGGCUGGAGAAGGUCCCAA
This 2161-nucleotide ribosomal RNA is filed under the name human gut metagenome. Its description in RNAcentral is "bacterial LSU rRNA". It matches the Rfam family "Bacterial large subunit ribosomal RNA", at positions 398 to 2568 of the family's 2925-position model. The record is from RNAcentral.